This is an unclassified non-coding RNA of Pongo abelii (Sumatran orangutan), 149 nucleotides long. It matches the Rfam family "Metazoan signal recognition particle RNA". Rfam says of the family: The signal recognition particle (SRP) is a universally conserved ribonucleoprotein. It is involved in the co-translational targeting of proteins to membranes. Lineage: Eukaryota; Metazoa; Chordata; Mammalia; Primates; Hominidae. The record is from Ensembl.
GCUGGGCGUGGUGGCGCAUGCCUGUAAUCCCAGCUACUCGGGAGGCUGAGACAGAAGAAUUGCUUGAACCCGGGAGGUGGAGAUUGCAGGUGAGCCAAGAUCGUGCCACUGCACUCCAGCCUGGGUGACAGAGCGAGACUCGGUCUCAA